Molecule: ribosomal RNA, 468 nt
Filed under: uncultured bacterium
Lineage: Bacteria
Description: partial 16S ribosomal RNA
Rfam family: Bacterial small subunit ribosomal RNA
Source: RNAcentral
GACGAACGCUGGCGGCGUGCUUAACACAUGCAAGUCGAACGGAAAGACCCUGCUUUUGUGGGGUGCUCGAGCGGCGAACGGGUGAGUAACACGUGAGUAACCUGCCCUUGACUUUGGGAUAACUUCAGGAAACUGGGGCUAAUACCGGAUAGGAGCUCCUGCUGCAUGGUGGGGGUUGGAAAGUUUCGGCGGUUGGGGAUGGACUCGCGGCUUAUCAGCUUGUUGGUGGGGUAGUGGCUUACCAAGGCUUUGACGGGUAGCCGGCCUGAGAGGGUGACCGGCCACAUUGGGACUGAGAUACGGCCCAGACUCCUACGGGAGGCAGCAGUGGGGAAUAUUGCACAAUGGGCGGAAGCCGUAUGCAGCAACGCCGCGUGCGGGAUGACGGCCUUCGGGUUGUAAACCGCUUUCGCCUGUGACGAAGCGUGAGUGACGGUAAUGGGUAAAGAAGCACCGGCUAACUACGUG